CCGAGUUUACAACUCCCAAACCCCUGUGAACAUACCUAUACGUUGCCUCGGCGGAUCAGCCCGCGCCCUGUAGAACGGGACGGCCCGCCCGAGGACCCUAAACUCUGUUUUUAGUGGAACUUCUGAGUAAAACAAACAAAUAAAUCA
Molecule: unclassified non-coding RNA, 147 nt
Filed under: soil metagenome
Description: partial internal transcribed spacer 1
Source: RNAcentral